CACGUAGUCAACAUGCCCAGGGGACGUGGAUAACCUCGGGAAACUGAGGAUAAACCGCGAUAGGUCACUACUUCUGGAAUGGGUAAUGACUCAAACCUAUAUGGCCCCUGGAUUGGACUGCGGCCGAUCAGGCUGUUGGUGAGGUAAUGGCCCACCAAACCUGUAACCGGUACGGGCUCUGAGAGGAGGAGCCCGGAGAUGGGCACUGAGACAAGGGCCCAGGCCCUAUGGGGCGCAGCAGGCGCGAAACCUCUGCAAUAGGCGAAAGCCUGACAGGGUUACUCUGAGUGAUCUCCGUUAAGGAGAUCUUUUGGCACCUCUAAAAAUGGUGCAGAAUAAGGGGUGGGCAAGUCUGGUGUCAGCCGCCGCGGUAAUACCAGCACCCCGAGUGGUCGGGACGUUUAUUGGGCCUAAAGCAUCCGUAGCCGGUUCUACAAGUCUUCCGUUAAAUCCAGCUGCUUAACAGAUGGGCUGCGGAAGAUACUAUGGAGCUAGGAGGCGGGAGAGGCAAGCGGUACUCGAUGGGUAGGGGUAAAAUCCGUUGAUCCAUUGAAGA
Molecule: ribosomal RNA, 556 nt
Filed under: uncultured archaeon
Lineage: Archaea
Description: bacterial SSU rRNA
Rfam family: Archaeal small subunit ribosomal RNA
Source: RNAcentral